UGUUGAACCAACAGUUGUGGCGCA
Molecule: non-coding RNA, 24 nt
Filed under: Arabidopsis thaliana (thale cress)
Lineage: Eukaryota; Viridiplantae; Streptophyta; Magnoliopsida; Brassicales; Brassicaceae
Source: RNAcentral